Molecule: long non-coding RNA, 595 nt
Filed under: Zonotrichia albicollis (white-throated sparrow)
Lineage: Eukaryota; Metazoa; Chordata; Aves; Passeriformes; Passerellidae
Description: lncRNA (ENSZALG00000014724.1)
Source: RNAcentral
GGGUCUUUCAUAAGAAGCACAAGCCUGGCUUUCCUCAUCUUGGCAUCUCAGAUCCACCACGUGUAAAAUGGUAUCUUGAUUUCAUUCAUUAAUGUGGAGUUCUGGAACUGGGAAACAAAAACCUUCACCUGCCAUUUCCUUUCCCUUUGCAAUAUAACCAGAGCAAAAGAUAACACCUAAAAUUCACAGCAUCAUGGCUUUCCUGGUGGUGAGUCACCAUCAGGUGAAUCUAUUCCGUCAUCUCUGGAGGAGUCAGCAGGAUGGGAGAGCUGUGCUCAGCCAUUAGCUCAUUUCUUUUCUUUCUUUUCAGCCAUGUGCUGCCUUCAAUCUCUUGGCGCUGCAUAUGUCAGGAGCAGGAAAGAUGUCCACACCCAAAGAAUGCAAGAAUCACCGUGGAACUGUACUCAGUGAUGACCUCCAAUCCUCUCAAAGAGAAACUCCUCAAUUCCAGGAAAGAGUCCAUCAGGAAGUUGACAUGAACAACCCUUCUUCACCUGUGGGAAUGUCUGAAACCGUCUCUGGAUGUCUUCGGGUAAUUAAGAUUUGAGCUUGCUGCUCAAAUAAAAUCCUUUCACUGCUUUAAUUUUCUUUUUUC